CUUGCUUCUUUGCUGGCGACCGGCGCACGGGUGAGUAACACGUAUCCAACCUGCCCUUUACUCGGGGAUAGCCUUUCGAAAGAAAGAUUAAUACCCGAUAGCAUAAUGAUUCCGCAUGGUUUCAUUAUUAAAGGAUUCCGGUAAAGGAUGGGGAUGCGUUCCAUUAGGUUGUUGGUGGGGUAACGGCCCACCAAGCCUUCGAUGGAUAGGGGUUCUGAGAGGAAGGUCCCCCACAUUGGAACUGAGACACGGUCCAA
This 257-nucleotide ribosomal RNA is filed under the name uncultured bacterium. RNAcentral describes it as "partial 16S ribosomal RNA". It matches the Rfam family "Bacterial small subunit ribosomal RNA", at positions 73 to 334 of the family's 1533-position model. The record is from RNAcentral.